CGCCCGGCUGACCAGGGGGACCUGCCCCACGGCGGGUGCGGGGAGGCGGGGGCCAGAGAGCCGGCCGCAGCCGGGUGGGCGGCCGGGCCAGCCCCGGACGGAGGGCAGCGGCAGUGCGGGUGCAGCCGACCGGCUGUUGUCUUUGUUUUCAAGUUCACAAUGUGUGACACAUUCAUUGUUAAGUACAGUGGAAAUAGCCUCCGCGAGUGUGAGCGCUGCUUGGAGGGGCAGCAAGUCUGCCAGAGCCUGCACCGGGCUGGCAGGGCCUCUCCAGCCUCUGCACGGCACGGGAGGACCAGGGUGGUGACUUGGCGACGCAGGCUGUGCGGGGUCCCCUGGUCAGCAGCGGUGGCCGUCCAUCCAUCCGUCCGUCUGUGUUCCUGGAGGCGACUCUUCCGGGGCUGGCGGGAGCCUAGGUCCUGUUCGGCCCCACCCCUCCUCCUGGUGUGUGUUCUGGUAGCACGUCAUGGGGAUGGAAUCGUGUGAGAUUCACCCUCACACAGCCGCAGCGUCUGCAGCCAGAGUUAGGAGGAUCAGGGGAGCUAUUUUCCGUCUGGCUGAGACUCUGCUUAGCAGGGCCGGAGGCUCCCUGCUGAGAAUGACAGCUGAGACCCGGAGUUCCCUCUGACCCUGCAGCCCACCAGCACUCUGUGGGUGCCCGGAGUAUUGGCAAGCAAGCAUUCCAUUCAGGUCACUUUUAUGGUCCCUGAGAAGUCCUUCCCCGUACAGCUACCCCACUGCCUCUUAGGUCAUUAGUUGUUUAAAGACCCACAGCAAGAGUGGCCUGGAAAGUCUCUGAGGCUGGGCCUCUGCAGCGCAGUAGCUCGACUAGUAGUCACCUUCCCCGUGGUGCCUCUUCUCUUCUGCGUGUGGCCCAGGCUGGUUCCCUCUCUUCCAGUGUUGUAAGAGUUGUGGUCCUGACCUAGGGCUGGUUUAGAGCAGAGGUGUGGACAGCGUGACAGGUGCCAGUCAAGAUUACUCCAGGGAGCAGGUGUGUGAAGGGCUCCGUCACUGAGACAAUGGCGGUAGGGAUGCCCUGACACAUUUGACCCCGCUGUGCAGGGCUGUGACCCAGAGGCACAUGGAAGCCCAUCAGUGGAAAGGUUUUCCCAAGCAUGAGGCUGACUCAGUGACGGACCGUGAGAUAGAUCGUGCACCUACAGAGUAGAUCUGUUUUCUGUCCUAUCACGUAGAUAAAGUGCACCUCACCCUCCACACUGCAGACACCAGCCCACAAGAGCCACCAGGCAGCAGAGAGAGCUGGGGCCAACAGGGAAGUUGGGCUUGCUGUGUAGGGCGAGGAGCCCAGCAGCCUUCACCUGAGUUUCACCUCCCUAAGAAUGAGGUGCUUGAAGGGAAACAUUUCCAGGGAUGCUCUGACAGGAAAAGUCAUCGCAUCUUGGCCCCCAGGAUUGGCUCUCACCCAGGGGACCCUGGCCGGGAGUCUCUGGGAAGUGUCCCUGGCCAAGUGCUUACAUGUAGUGUAGAUAUGUGCUGGGGUGCAUUGAACAGCAGAAUUGACUCUUUCUGUACCAUUCCUUUUUCAUAAAAUUUCCAAAGCACAGCCAAGAGUGAGGGAAGACAAUGGGAAGGGGUGAGCCUGCUUUCAUCACCUCCCUGUGUUCUGCUCUAAGUGACUGGAGCUAUGACAGGAGCUGAGACAGCCUUCCUGGGGCACCAGCGCCCUGCCAACCCGCACUGACCUGACGGCCACGUCCUCCCCUUUCCCAGGAAAAACUCCACGGCAGGCAACACACUGGCCAGGGAGCAGCAUCCCCUCGAAGUGUGAGGGCUGGUGUCUGAUGUGUGCUACCUGGACACAGGUUAGGAGCUUUGGCCUGCUCCCACAUGGCACAGGAGGGCUCCCAGCAGCUUGGUGCCUCCUUGGCUUGACCUAGAAGGCCUACUGCCCAUGCCAGAGCUGUCCAGAGACCAGGGAUGUGGCCUGGCCACUGACAGCCACCUCUGCUAGAAUGGGCACGUAACACCCAAAGCUUCUGCCUCCGGGUCAGGGCUGGGGCCGGCAGGGCUGUGUCUUCCUGCCCUCCCCCCAGGGUGGGCUGUGGUCUGUGUGAUGAGGUCAGUACCAGUGAGAGCCAGAACUGCCCUGACCUCACAGGCGCCCCUCCCUCCGCCCUGAGCUCCACAGGAACUGAGCUCCCCUGCCAUGCCUCCCUGCCAGCCUAGUGUGCCUCACGGAUGGUGCUUCUAUAGGGUCUGUCCCUGCUCGCUUGUCAGGUGCUGUAUAUAUGUUGGAUAUAUCAUACACAUAUCCUACCCAAUGGGUAGAACAAAGCAUUGUUGAUACUGUAAUAUAAUGUAUAAUGAUACCAAUUUUAACAGAAACGGUAUAGAAUCUGUGAAUGCCCAUGUGCAGCUUUGUCCUCUUUUGUAAGAAAAUUUGCAAAUGGAUGCACAUAAAGUCUAUGUAGUUUAUUUUCCUAUUAAAUAUCGAUAUUGUAACACAAGAGAAGUCUGAACAAGCAAGCAAAUUUAUGACCAGCAUCUAGUCAGCAACUGAGAGUUGCUUCUUUGCUAUAAAAACUUAAGAACCUCACAGCUUUUUAGUGGCCAUUAAAUGGCCCUUUCUUUACUCAUUUUAGAAAUACCCAGUUGGACAGUUACUGUUUAGUCAGCAGAAAGGACUGAUUCCAGUUUUCAUUUUGCUGUAGCACACAAAGGCCCUGGUGAGAGGGCUGAGUUCGUGUUGUUAAAACAGCAAAGCAGAGGACUCUGCAGCUUGGUGACCCCCAGGGCUGUGGAGCUGGAACUGGCCAGGCAUGGGCAGGAUCGUACAUUAUCCCUCGGGACAUCCUGCAGUCCUUCUGACCAGAAACCUGCUCAGUGCUGCCAAGGGUGAGAGAGCACAUGGAACGACCCUCCCUUCCAGCUCAGCUGAGUGUCUGCUUGGGACCUCUGCACUUUUCUUGAGAUGUUCCAGUACUUCCCUUACCACAGAAGACAGCGCCACAACACCAUGCCAAACCACUGCUGAGUCCUGGGUGUGGGUGUCAAGCUCUGUCCACAAAGGAAGUUGUGGAUUUUGCCAUCUGCCCCGCAUACCCAGGUUCUUCUGUCACCAGACAACGUUCUAAUAAAGCCCAUUUUAAGCUUUCUGUAUGGUUUGUAUAGGUUCUGAUCUGGAAAAUCAUAGCAGCCUCCACAAAUAAGUUAUCACAGAUUGUCCUCACCUGGAAGUGCCUGAGCCAGCUUCCCCCCUGCUGCUGCUAAGAAGGGUGGGGUCCCUGGGACCCUCUCGGAAGCUGCUGGCGUGGGCUGUGUCCUCAGCCUCCUGUGCUGGUACCCCUGCAUGCCAUCCAUAGAUCGCUCAUCUUCACUUCAUGACUUUCAAGUCAUGGCUUUCUAACUGCAUAGUUUAAAGCUGUUUUAAAAUAUAUACAGUGCUAUCUACAGUAUUUAGUUCAUUUAAUUUUUAUUAUAAAGUCCACUGAAAGUAUGACUGUACUUAAACUUUUUAGUCUUUGUGAGCUAAAGUCAUGAAAGUCCUUUAUAAAAAAACCCAAUGAUUUGUGCUUACUUUUCAGCAUAAUUCCCAACUAUCAGCAGCGGUGAUGUGGGGGUUUGACCUCAAGUCUGUAUUGCAGUGUUUUACAGAAAGGUGUUGCACCAAGUGGUAUUUGUUGUAAAAUUAGGUUUUUCUGCUUGUUCUUAAAGCUGUGGUCAAACCAUUGCACACAAAUCAUUAAAAAAAUCAGUGACA
Molecule: long non-coding RNA, 3721 nt
Organism: Chinchilla lanigera (long-tailed chinchilla)
Lineage: Eukaryota; Metazoa; Chordata; Mammalia; Rodentia; Chinchillidae
Exons: 2
Source: RefSeq, a predicted model, not a curated record